This 264-nucleotide ribosomal RNA is filed under the name uncultured Ascomycota. RNAcentral describes it as "partial 18S ribosomal RNA". It matches the Rfam family "Eukaryotic small subunit ribosomal RNA", at positions 619 to 888 of the family's 1831-position model. The record is from RNAcentral. Lineage: Eukaryota; Fungi; Ascomycota.
UUAAAAAGCUCGUAGUUGUACCUUGGGCCUGGCUGGCCGGUCCGCCUCACCGCGUGCACUGGUUCGGCCGGGCCUUUCCCUCUGGGGAACCUCAUGCCCUUCACUGGGUGUGAUGGGGAACCAGGACUUUUACUGUGAAAAAAUUAGAGUGUUCAAAGCAGGCCUAUGCUCGAAUACAUUAGCAUGGAAUAAUAGAAUAGGACGUGUGGUUCUAUUUUGUUGGUUUCUAGGACCGCCGUAAUGAUUAAUAGGGACAGUCGGGGG